This 506-nucleotide ribosomal RNA is filed under the name uncultured bacterium. RNAcentral's name for it is "partial 16S ribosomal RNA". It matches the Rfam family "Bacterial small subunit ribosomal RNA", at positions 28 to 523 of the family's 1533-position model. The record is from RNAcentral.
GAUGAACGCUAGCUACAGGCUUAACACAUGCAAGUCGAGGGGUAACAAGAGAAAAGCUUGCUUCUCUUGUUGACGACCGGCGCACGGGUGAGUAACGCGUAUCCAACCUGCCUAUAACUAGGGAAUAACCUUGCGAAAGUAAGACUAAUACCCUAUGAUUUCCUUUGAUGACAUCAGAUUAGGAAUAAAGAUUUAUCGGUUAUAGAUGGGGAUGCGUCUGAUUAGCUUGUUGGCGGGGUAACGGCCCACCAAGGCAACGAUCAGUAGGGGUUCUGAGAGGAAGGUCCCCCACAUUGGAACUGAGACACGGUCCAAACUCCUACGGGAGGCAGCAGUGAGGAAUAUUGGUCAAUGGGCGAAGGCCUGAACCAGCCAAGUAGCGUGCAGGAUGACGGCCCUAUGGGUUGUAAACUGCUUUUAUACAGGAAUAAAGUUAGCCACGUGUGGUUAUUUGUAGGUACUGUAUGAAUAAGGACCGGCUAAUUCCGUGCCAGCCGCCGCCGUAA